UACGUAGGGGGCGAGCGUUAUCCGGAUUCAUUGGGCGUAAAGCGCGCGUAGGCGGCCGCCUAAGCGGAACCUCUAACCCCGGGGCUCAACCUCGGGCCGGGUUCCGGACUGGGCGGCUCGAGUGCGGUAGAGGAGAGCGGAAUUCCCGGUGUAGCGGUGGAAUGCGCAGAUAUCGGGAAGCACACCGAUGGCGAAGGCAGCUCUCUGGGCCGUCACUGACGCUGAGGCGCGAAAGCUGGGGGAGCGAACAGG
RNAcentral lists this ribosomal RNA (252 nucleotides) under uncultured bacterium. RNAcentral describes it as "partial 16S ribosomal RNA". It matches the Rfam family "Bacterial small subunit ribosomal RNA", at positions 524 to 776 of the family's 1533-position model. The record is from RNAcentral.